UGCCAGCAGCCGCGGUAAUACGGAGGGUGCAAACGUUGUUCGGAAUCACUGGGCAUAAAGCGCACGUAGGCGGCCUUGCCAGUCUGAUGUGAAAGCCCCCGGCUCAACCGGGGAACUGCAUUGGAUACUACAAGGCUCGAGGACGGUUGGGGUGAGUGGAACUCCUGGUGGAGCGGUGAAAUGCGUAGAUAUCAGGAGGAACACCAGUGGCGAAAGCGGCUCACUGGACCGUCUCUGACGCUGAGGUGCGAAAGCUAGGGGAGCGAACGGGAUUAGAUA
This 279-nucleotide ribosomal RNA is filed under the name uncultured bacterium. RNAcentral describes it as "partial 16S ribosomal RNA". It matches the Rfam family "Bacterial small subunit ribosomal RNA", at positions 506 to 784 of the family's 1533-position model. The record is from RNAcentral.